Helianthus annuus (common sunflower) is the source of this 2164-nucleotide RNA transcript. It is a transcript of the gene named F-box/kelch-repeat protein At3g06240, with no coding region annotated. The transcript is spliced from 3 exons. The record is from RefSeq and is a predicted model, not a curated record. NCBI's taxonomy places the organism in Eukaryota, Viridiplantae, Streptophyta, Magnoliopsida, Asterales, Asteraceae.
AGGAAUUCUAGGGUGGGUUCUAUUGAUGCUACGCCAGACCCUGGAUAUCGCCGUUAUAAUGGGAGUUCUAUUGAUACUCCCCCGGACCCUGGAUAUCGCCGUUAUAAUGGGAGGCCGAAGCGCGACAAGAUAAGAAGGGGACCAUUCUCCUGUGCGUUGACGCUAUUGAAGAAGCAGUCAAGAUGACAAAUUUUGCAGCAUGAAAAUAAUUUCAGUUGUCUUCUUUCUAUGACUUCCACUUGUAACUGGCAAUAAUAUCGGACAAGUGUUAAAGCUGAAGAUUGUAGAGUUAUGAGUUUUGCUUGUUCAUUUAGUUGUCUGGAUUCUAGUUUAUAUUAUCUUGUCUUUGAUGCAUUCGGUAACUGUUUACUACUUUUAUAUUAAUUCUAUAUGAAGUCUUGCUAGUUUUCGAGUGCCUAUAUUGUUGAAUAUUAUGAAUGUGAUUUUAAAUCUAGUUGGUUUUACAGUCUUGUUGGUUCUUGUAACGGACUGGUAUGUAGGGGUGUAAACGAGCCGGGCCGAGUCCGAGCUCGGCUCGUCAUGUUUUUAUGAAGCUCGAGCUCGAGCUCGGCUCGGUUCGAGCCUACUUGUUUGAGCUCGAACUCGGCUCGCAAGUAAAACCCAAAGCUCGAGCUCGGCUCGACUCGACUCGAGCAAUUUUGAGAACAACCACAGACGAGCUAAAAACUCGACUCGAACUCGCUUCAAUAUCGCUUAAACGAGACAAAGCUCGGCUCGAGCUCGGCUCGCCAAUGUUAUCAUCACUAUUAUUAUAUUAUAUAUAAACUAAAUAAAUUUUUGCUCGGUCUCGUUUAGGCUCGCGAGCCUAAACGAGCUUUGUAUUUCAGGCUCGAGCUCGGGCUCGAUAACUAAACGAGCUCUAUUUCAGGCUCGGGCUUGUUAAAGCUCGGCUCGUUCAAGCUUUUAACCGAGCCGAUAAUGAGUAGCUCUCGAGUCUCUGGGCUUGUUUACAAAUUACAACCCUACUGGUAUGCAUCUUCUCUUAUUUAACAUGGACAAUUUUAGUAGGCAAUCCAAUGACUAGAGAGGUAAGACAACUGAACCUUCCCUCGUUUUUGCUUUUGCUCGAUAGAUCAUUAUGUUGGGGUUUUGGUUAUGAUUUAUCCAAAGACGAUUACACAGUUGUUGUCGCGGGGGAGAAGAAAGGCGAGAAUCAAACAUCUUUUCACUUGUUGAGUUUGAAAUCUAAUGUGUGGAGAGUUAUCGGAGAAGUGAAGUAUAGAUUACUUACUAAGGCUGGUAUCUUAUGCAAUGGUGCGCUUCACUGGCUUGUAGGAGAUAAUGAAAACACGAAAAAGCUAAUUAUUUGUUAUGAUUUAUCUAAAGAGGAAUUUAAAGAAAUUCCCUUACUACCUGAUGAUGCAAGAUAUGAAAGUUCUUCUCAUAGCUACCUGGGAGUUAUGGAAGAAUGUCUAUGCAUAUUUUGGCGGUCUUUGUCUUCUUGUGUUGUCGUAUGGCGGCCGAUGAAAAAGUACAAUGUUGUAAAACAGUCAUGGGAAUUGUUGCGACGUAAUUCUGACAUGAAGUAUGAAAGUAUACACUACUUGAGAAGGGCGAAGAAUCCUAUGUUAAAUGAUAGUUUCUUCCAUCUUGAUGAAUCUCUUUUUUGCGGCACGUUAUACGUUGAUGCCCCUAUAUUUGUGCAAAGCCUUGUAUCGCCCCAUGUAUGCAGGACAAGAGGAGUGUGUUGUCGUAUGGCCGAUGAAAAAGUAUAGUGCAUAUCUUGACUUUUUCAAGAUGAAAGAGCGUUGCGUUAGUGUGAGGAGAUGGAGAUUCAGUGCCACAUUUUGAUGCUGUUAAGAUCUUCUGCCUUAUAAUACUUUUUAUUUUCUAGUAUCUUUUUUUAUGGAUUCAGUAAUUGUUAACAGUGUCAGACCCAGGAUUUUUGGACAAUGGGGUCCAAAAAAAAAACACAAAAAAACGAAGAAACAGGUAUCAAACCCAUGACCUUUUGUGUGUUAACAAGGGGUUUUACCACUACACUAGGCUCACUUUCAUUGUUAUGGGGUCCAACUAAAUUGUUCGAUGGGGUCCAUAGACAAUUUUAUAUACCGUUUCUACUACGUUUUAAAAAAAGAUUGGGGUCCGGGGACCCCGUUCCUCGUAACGUAGGUCCGCCCCUGAUUGUUAAUUUAUGAGUAAA